CAGAGAAUAGUUUAAAUGAAAAUUUUAAUUUUGGAGAUUAAGGAUAAAUGAAUUUUUUUCUCUGA
RNAcentral lists this transfer RNA (65 nucleotides) under Rhysodes sp. BMNH-844233. RNAcentral describes it as "tRNA-Pro". Lineage: Eukaryota; Metazoa; Arthropoda; Insecta; Coleoptera; Carabidae. The record is from RNAcentral.